This 207-nucleotide unclassified non-coding RNA is filed under the name Glomeraceae sp. Its description in RNAcentral is "partial contains 5.8S ribosomal RNA and internal transcribed spacer 2". The stretch from base 1 to 65 matches the Rfam family "5.8S ribosomal RNA", at positions 84 to 154 of the family's 154-position model. The record is from RNAcentral. Lineage: Eukaryota; Fungi; Glomeromycota; Glomeromycetes; Glomerales; Glomeraceae.
GUGAAUCAUCAAAUUUUUGAACGCAAAUUGCACUCUCCUCGGAGAGUAUGCCUGUUUCAGGGUCAGCCUCUAAAAAUCGACAUCGUUGCUGUUUCCCGGUGGCGUUCGUCGGAAAUUGGGUUAUCUUAACUCCUUUUGAUCUAAGCGACUUAAAAUUUUCCUUUGGUUCCAUGAACGUUUCUAGUAUCUAUUUUUUCACACGUUCAU